AGGAAAUGUAAGUAAAUCAAAGAAUUACAACUUAAAAAAAUAAGUAUACAAAGUCAUAAGGUUUAGAAAUACAUUUCCAUAUUUUAAUCAGACAACAAUAUUGUUUUUGGAAAGAAAACAUUGAUUAUGCUGAAAUAGUUUACUGGAGAGCUUGAACAAGAGGUAAAUCCAUUUUAAAUUAGAGGAAAACUGUUGAUUUGUAUGUAAAAUAGAAGACAAAGACAAGUUUAAAUAAAGACAAGCUAGCUAAUGAAACAGAUGCAGUGAUAUGACAAACACCUAGAAGAUGGAAUCCUGUGUUCUCAAAGAAAAAGCUAGUUCCAGAAAUAAGCUACCAAUAAUAAACUAGAGAAUGUAUUACAAGAAAGAACAACGUUAAUACUCAACAUAGCUCAAUUGCUUCAGAUAGAAAAAGAGGAGGAAAGGGUAGAACACAAGCAUGCCAGAGAAAAUUAAAGGGCAGAAGAGACACAAAAAUUCAUUGAUUUAUUAAAUUUAAUAAUUAAAUUAUACAAAGGACAAUUAAAUAAAGAAUAAAAAAUUA
This is a long non-coding RNA of Diabrotica virgifera virgifera (western corn rootworm), 544 nucleotides long. RefSeq lists it as uncharacterized. The record is from RefSeq and is a predicted model, not a curated record. Lineage: Eukaryota; Metazoa; Arthropoda; Insecta; Coleoptera; Chrysomelidae. The transcript has 2 exons.